AGCAGCCGCAGUAAUUCCAGCUCCAAUAGCGUAUAUUAAAGUUGUUGCAGUUAAAAAGCUCGUAGUUGAAUUUCGGGGUUAGCAAGUUGGUCGUGCCUUCGGUAUGCACUGGCUUUGCUGAUUCCUCCUUCUUGAAGAACUGUGAUGCUAUUAAUUUGGUGUUGCAGGGAAACAGGACUGUUACUUUGAAAAAUUAGAGUGUUUAAAGCAGGCUAACGCUUGAAUACAUUAGCAUGGAAUAAUGAAAUAGGACGUUUGAUCCUAUUUUGUUGGUUUCUAGGAUUGACGUAAUGAUUAAUAGGGAUAGUUGGGGGCAUUAGUAUUCAAUUGUCAGAGGUGAAAUUCUUGGAUUUAUUGAAGACUAACUACUGCGAAAGCAUUUGCCAAGGAUGCUUUCAUUAAUCAAGAA
Molecule: ribosomal RNA, 409 nt
Filed under: uncultured Glomus
Lineage: Eukaryota; Fungi; Glomeromycota; Glomeromycetes; Glomerales; Glomeraceae
Description: SSU rRNA
Rfam family: Eukaryotic small subunit ribosomal RNA
Source: RNAcentral